This 253-nucleotide ribosomal RNA is filed under the name uncultured bacterium. RNAcentral describes it as "partial 16S ribosomal RNA". It matches the Rfam family "Bacterial small subunit ribosomal RNA", at positions 524 to 776 of the family's 1533-position model. The record is from RNAcentral.
UACGGAGGAUGCAAGCGUUAUCCGGAAUGAUUGGGCGUAAAGCGUCCGCAGGUGGCUGUGUAAGUCUGCUGUUAAAGAGUGAGGCUCAACCCCAUAAAGGCAGUGGAAACUACAUGGCUAGAGUGCGUUCGGGGCAGAGGGAAUUCCUGGUGUAGCGGUGAAAUGCGCAGAUAUCAGGAGGAACACCGGUGGCGAAGGCGCCACUCUGGGCCGAAACUGACGCUGAGGAGCGAAAGCGUGGGUAGCAAACAGG